AGCUUUGAAAUAUCAAAAUAACCAGAUAUAUAAAAAAUUUCCUAAAAACCAAAGAAGUCAUUUAUUGCAAUAGAAAGAGAGAGAGAGAGAGAGAGAGAGAGAGAGAGAGAGAGAGAGAGAGAGAGGUUGAAGGUCACACCACUGUCUCAGGGGGAGACAAGCCACCUUCACACUUAAUCAUAAUGUCACUCAUGUCACCAUAUUCUUAAAAUCUAAUCUUGCCCUCCUUGAAACUAGUAAUGCCAAAACUGUCCAUUCUACUACUUAAGCAUCUAUUUCAAGAGAAAGGCCAUCCUGGAAUCAUGGACAUAGAUGGAAUCCCCUAUUGCAUCUUUUCAGACUUGGCAGCAGGACUAAUAUCUGCCACAAUGAUGCAAAAAGAGAACACAGUUAAAAACAUUCGGAGUCUUGAAAGGCAACCUUCAAGUGGAGAUUUUAAACUCGAGGCCACUGAACUUAUGCCUUCUCAUCAGAUACUGGAGUCUUCUCAUCAUGCAUUAUGUCUGACUAUCUAACCACCCUAGUAAAUUCAUUUAGAGAAAUGUUAUUGGACUGUCAGUGUAUGCCUUCUUUAUGCUAAAAAUGAACCGCCACGACCAUUCUCAGUGAACUUUGUCAUUGGCACGAUGGAUCUUUUAAGGAAAUGAGCAUACAAGAGAUUUAAAGGCAUCAGAUAACCAUCCAGUGCGGUGAGUUCGAGUGCACAAGAAGGCCCAAGUAUUCUCUCUAGUUGAUUCAGUGAGACAACCAAAUACAACAUCAGGAAACAGUAAAGAGAUGAAUAGAACUGCCUUUAGAAACUUUCAUGACCAGUCAUGAUCCAAAAUGGAACAGCAUAUCAACUCUCAAGUGAUCUUCACUGAAUCACAAACAAUGCCACCAAAGAGUGUUUUUGUUGGCAAAACAAAGUGGAACAGUAAACUUGUGCACACACAAAGAGAAUUGUUUGAGAACCUUCAGCAAAAUUAACAAAAAAUUUACUAGGUUCAAAAGCAUGUCAAGUUAACAAAGAACAAAAGCGUAACUGCAGAAGCUCCUAAAUGACCAUGUGAAUAUAAUAGGAUAAUCUUAGCAAAUAUAUUUUUAUUAUAGCAAGUCUUAUGGAGUUCACAGCACUCUUUUAUGAGAUGUCAAAGCUACAAAUAUUGUAGCAAGUUUUUGAAUUACAACAUGAGAAUUCAGGUUUUCCUGAUUGUGAAUAAGCUCUUCCAAAUAAUUAAAACAACAAAUCAGAACGGACAAACAUAUUCUACAUUUUGAAGGGACAAGUUUCAGUCUUCUUACUGCAGAAAUUAAAUUAAACCAAUAAGAAAUGUCUAAACAUUCUUUCAAUUCAACAAUUUCAGCUAAAGACUAAAUUAGCAUCUUGAAAAAGAUAAUCUAGCAAUCUUUCCAAACAUUUGAGGAAGUGUAGAAUGAAAAGGGGAAAAGGAGAUCAAUUAAAGUUUUUAUUUAGUUACACAAAACAUAAUGAUAACAAUAACCAAAAUGUUCAAGUCUUUAUAAGUCUUAUUUUUAUUUCUUACUAAACAGAUUAUAUUCCUUUUCCUUAUCAGAACUUGAUAGCUAUCACGACAAAUUUUGAAGAAGUUGUAAAUGAUUUGAACUUUCAGUCAGUCAUAUACUCAAUUGGUUGAUCCAGCGGCAGACAUCCCUCUUCCUACUUGUCAGAGGCAGAGUUUUGAGUUUUUAUCUGUUGAGAGUACAUCAUGUGAACAACAGAAAUAUAAUUAAAAUUAGUUCAAUGCCAUGAUGACAGCAAAACCUCCAAAGAUAUAUCUGGCUAGAUCCUACUAACUCAGUUGACUGCCUUUUCUACUUGUAAUUGUCUGAAAAAGUUUAAUGAUGAAAAUAUCAGGUUCUACUUGCACUCAUAAGUAGAUUUACAUGAGUGAGAGCAGGUGGAAAGAAUUGAAUAAAGAAAGCACAAUGUUUCGUUUUGCCCUAAAAUUAAAAUGCAUUCUUUGAUACUUCCAAAAAGCAUAAUGUGCUGUCAUACCAAAAGAAUACAAUGUAUUGUUUGAUACUUCCAGUUUACCAAACAACAAACAAUUGCCACAUAUGCAUAUAAUAAGCACAUGCACUAAAUUAUUGUUUACUAUAUACUCAGACUCAUGCAUCAUAUGAACCAAGAUGUAAGACAAAACGAUUCCUAUUGGCCAUCUCAAUGAUCUUGAGAAUAUAAAUAAGCAAUAACAAAAGGCUGUUUACUAUAUCUUUCUUAACAGAUUUUAAAACAAAAUAGUGAAGCUAUGGACAAAAUCAAACAUUUAUAGAAAUCUGAAGUAAAAGGUGCGAUAAAGAUUUUGAUCUAGUGUUACAAUAUGAAUUAUGACAUACAUGACAAAUAAGUUAGAAUUACCAAAGAAUCCUGGAAGCCUUGAUAAAAAAUAUGAAGCGCCUAUAUCUGGGAAGAAUCCCAGUGCUGUUUCUGGCAUAGCAAAAACCUGCACCAGAAUAUAUGACUGGUACUUUAGUUGAUCCUUUGAGUAGGUAAUACAAACAAACACAGGAUUUCAUGGACAUGAUCCAUCAUGAAUUUAAAUAUGCCACAUAUCCGGUCCACGCAUGUAUCAAAGUACUUGUAUUCAUGUUUGGGAUGAUCAAAUUUAUAAUAUCAGCAAAUACAUAUAUUGAUUAUACUAUAAAUAAAAUGGCAUACAUCUUUACCAGUUUUCCUUCCAGUAACAAUUAACACAGCAGAUACGGCAAUUCACUAAUAAUGUGAAAAUAAAGUUAUCAUGGGUUAUGCAGUAGAGAAAACAAAAUAGGUUGAUGUAAAUGAAACUACAGUAAAAUGCUGACGUGAUGAAAGAAAAAGAGAGAAACCUCAAACAUGUUACAUUAUAGGAUUUGAAAAUGUAGCUUUAUCAUGUUUGCCAAGUUGGAUUAUGAGGGUCAAAAAAGUGUAUCAACAGAAUUAAGCAGAAACGCAACCACACCAAAGCACGUGUUGUGGCUCCACCCAACUUAACAUGUCAUUUGUUAAUCGAUAACAUUCCAAGUUUAGUAGUAGCCUGCUAUAUAAUUACAUAAAACUAGGGUUCAUCGUACUGAGCUGUACCGCUCAAAAUGGGUGGUACAUACCGGUCCGAUAAGGGAUCGAUGCGUGAACCGCCCUCUACCAGGUAAUACCCAUUACAUGAGCCUGUAUCGAGCGAUACAGGAUCUGUACCGAUCAGUAACGAUCGAUUUUCGACCGUCACUGAUCAAGGGCUCAGAUUAUCAUAUUUUAAACGGUCAAUUUGACUAUUUGAACCAUAAGAAAGGAUUUUUAAACCCUUUCCUCCCCCCUCUUUCAACCCAUUUCACUCUCUUAAACUCUUCAACUCACUCAAACUCUUUAUCACUCACAUCUCUUAACAAGGUACUAGUCAAGUUUAUACAUGAAAUGGGAAGGGAAAAACAGUGAAUGAUUUUGAGCAAAUGCGAUAGAGCUUACUCGACGUAAACACAGAGUGAAGCUCAUUGUAUUUACAGUCGUCAUAUUAUGGAGAAUCUUAUAGUCAACAGCAGUAUGAUGAUGGUCAUACUUCUCCGAGCAAUAGUAUGAUAAUCGAUCUUAUGAUAUGAAGCAGUAGAUCAAUGGCGAAAAUAGAAGUUCUGACAUUCUCCAUGCUCCACACGAAUACAUACCACAACCAUCCUUGCCUCAGGAGUCACCUCGGACACAUGAUUCACGAUGAUCAGACUACGACCAUCACUACAUUGUUGCACCAAUGACAUAUGGUAUAUCAGUAUACUAUGCCGUGGGAUCAAUUUCAUGAUUGGGUCUGACAAAUGUAUUAGAUUGAUAUACAGAUACAUAGGAACAAGGACCCCAAUCCACCGCCCGUGGAGUCCCGUCGUUUUUUUCGGUAAUAGAACUAGGAAUAUCCAUCGAUUAAUUACUUAAUUUGUUUAAAUCUUAAAGUUUAAGUUGUUUAAAAAUAAUCUAACAAUUCAAAUCAUUUCUUUGUAGAUAAUUCAAUAUUAACGAAAGAAAUAUCUGAAACGUACCACAAAGCUACUCCUCAAAAGCUUAAAAAGAUGUAUCAUUAUUCUUUCCUAAUUUUGAUUAUUUUUUAUAAAAUUAUACUAAAUUUAUACUUAUUUACAAUUUAAAAACCCUUAUCCAACUUUUUUUAUUUUUUAAAAAUUUUAGGAGCUAUGUUUAAUAAUAAUUUUACUAUACUGUCGAUACACCCAAGCAUACCAAUAUAUGGUACAUUGGCAUCCCUUGGUACAUAUCGUACCAAUGGUUGGUCUAUACAACGGUACAAACUAGUUUCACGAACCUUGCAUAAAACAACCAUAAAACACACAAACAGCAAAAAAAAAAAAAGUAGGCAUAAAAUGUAGUGGAUGGAGACCCGUGAAAAUUUUGCACCAAACAGAAGCAAAAACAUCGUAGAAGAACUUGUGUGUAGUUCUUUGCAACGUGGAUGACCAAGAAUCAAGUCAUGAAAUAGUCACUGUAUUUAUUUCUAGGAUAAAGAAUGUAUAUAUUGGCCCUCCCCUCAGGCCCCACACCGGGAGAGUCUCAUGUACAAGGUUCUAACUUUAUCAUCAAAUUACAUAUUACAAGUAUGAAUUGGUGCAUAAUGGAGGACAAAACCCUAAUUAUCAUUUGACAGGCUGAAAAAAAAGCCCUGAUUUAAAUGGACAAGCAAUCGGUGGAAACAAAAGUGACUUGCUAAAAGAAUAUUACAAAACAGUCAGGAUGAGAUUUCGAUUUUGGAUAUUAUCACAUUCAUAAAUAUGCACAAAAGUAUAUGACCUUGUUUCUGAUUAACCCAUUUGUAAAUUUCCUAUCUGCUACUGCCUCGGUAAAGUUAAAAAACAUAGGUUAACUGCGAAAAUUGAAUCGAACAGCAUAAUAAGCAUGAACUUAGUUAAGUAAUAGUUAACUAUUACUUUCGCUUCAAAGGCAAAUGUUCCAGUCAUGCAUUAGCUAAAGAAACAUACCGUUUUCUCUGUGACAACUCUAAAUCUACCAUGUAUUGAAAUGCCAGCCCCACCACCCAUGACAAUUCCAUCUAGAAUAGAAACCUUCAAACAUGGUAUUGUAGGUUAACAUGAUUCUAAGAAAUGCAUUAGAAAAAUGACAUUCACAAAUAAAAAAAUAAAACGUUAGAGGAUAAGUCACCUGAGGCUUGCUGUAAGUUGCAAUUAUGUAAUUUAAGGUAUAUUCAUUCCGGAAGAAUUCUGCACCCAGAGUCCAAUGACCUGACAGAAUGAUAGCAAGAAUCCCAGUUGAAAGAAAGUGGAUGAAGGGAAAAAAACAUAUUUAUGUUUCAACUUGGAACAAAGAACUUUGAAACAAGGUUCUUUUAGAACAUCAUAGCAAAUUUCCCUAGCAAGCUUGUAGUUUAUAGUUUAGACAUCAGUCAGAAUGACAGGUACAGUCACUGCACCUUCCAAACCUUCUCAUUAGACUUGGUCUCAUCCCUUGACAGGCAACACAGAUAAUUAAAUCUACCUUGAGUUACAGAUUGGACAACUGCUGCAACAUCCCCUCCAGCAGAAAAUGCUCUUCCAUUUCCCUGAAAGCUAUAACCCAUUAAAAUAUUACCAAAAACUGAAUUUAGCACAUGGAUCCUAGUACCAUAAGAAUGCUACGAUAAGUGUGUUCUAGCACCCUAGUUGGCUCCACCAAGAAAAUGGAAAGGAGAGCUCAAUGCAUAUAAUUUUUUUUACAAAUUAUAACCUAGUUGUAACCAAUUUAAGAUUUUCCCAGUACCAGAAAAAAGGUAAUAAAACUGAACCCUUCUUAUUUCAAAAUCAUUGUUUGCAUCAACAUCCACACAAACACACGUACACGUGCACGCUGCACACACAUAUACACGCACCUUUAUCUCCAACUGAAAGCUCGAAAGCACUCUCAUCUAUCCCGAACAUUAGUAGAGAUUCAACACCUCAAUGUGAAACUAGCCCCAGAUAUUUGCAGGAAGCGAGAUAAAUACGAAUAUCUGACAACUCAAGAUGAGAAGUAGAAUGUGUGGAAUUACUGAAUCUCAUAGCAAGAAUUUCAUCAAUUGGUGUGGAGUCCUACAGAACACUGGAGGCACCAACCAUCAUUGUUUAUCACAUUUGUUGUUGCUUCCUUAUGACCGAAAAGCAUGCAUCAAGGAAACAUGAGCAAUCCAAAUAGCCAAAAAAACCUUAAGUGAUUGGCUAUCUGAAUUGGUCUCUAUGAAUUAUUGGAAUUCCUUCAGAUGAUAGACAUGCCAUGAAUUAGUGCUUCUAGCUCUAAUGAAGUAUUUCUCACAUGCACAAGCUAAAAAAGGCAACAUAAGUGAAGGUUGACAUUCUCUGUAAAUUAGUACUAGAUGAGUUAUUAAUUUACCUUCAUUAUCAAUAAUUUGACAUCAGAAUCCUUCUCAUAAGCAACAAAAAGCUUCAGUAGCUUCAUAAUCUGGAAAAGAAUUAUUAUACCAGAAUUAUUUCGUAAGAAUUUUCAUAUUGUGAUGAUAAAAUAAAAAAAUGUUCGAUUCAGCUUCCCACAUCAAAUAAAUAAUAGAGCUCGCAUAUAAAGGAGCCAGAUAAAUUCUCCAAACGAUUCAACUCGAAGAAAAAACAUACAAGUGGCGCAUAAGAUAAAAAUCAUGAUAUUGCAUGUAUAACAUAAGCUGCAGUCCACAACAAAACAAACAUAGGGUACCUCAAGGUCACAUACACAGUAUUAGCCAUGCUGAGGAUCCUUUUUUUACUGAAGAUACAUUAUAAAAAUGCAUUAGAAUAUUGUAAACAGAAUAACAGGAGAUGUGUGCUACAGCUCAGCAAAAUUUUAUUGGAUGAUUUUGUACUCAUCUGUCAAGCUAUUUCAGUAGUGAGUUACAAGGAUCUACGUGAUCAAAAUUACUUUAUUAAGGACCACAAAUUUCAUCAAUUACAAAAUAGUACUAAAAAUAAAAACAACAAAAUAAAAAUAUAAACCAAACUUUAUUUUCAUAUUUAUUAACUUGAAUAUGGCAACAUGCAGCUUCACAACAUAGGUAGUACAACAAAAAAUAAGACCACACAAGCCAAAUGAGAAGCAAUCGUAUGAUUGCUCUCAUAUGCAGCUCAGUGAUUUAAAAAGACGCUCGGGUGCUCGCCUAGGCACUCGGGCAAGGCGAGGCGAGGCCCGAGCGCCUCACUAAUCUCCCAGGCGGCGCGCUUCAAACAGGCGCCGCCUGGGCGCUUCGGGCGAGCGCCUGGGUUAACCAAGGCGACCGAACCAGGAUUUUAGGUCUGGUUCGGUCUCUGAUGGUUAGUUGGUUCAAUCGAACCAACUAAAAUCGAUAUAAGUGAGAACCCAACCCUAACCCUCGCCGCUGCCGCUGCCGCUCCCGAUCCCGAUCCCGAUCUCGCUGCUCGCCGUUGUCGCUGCUCGCAAACGCUGCCUCUGUCGCCGCUCGCGCCUCUUGCUGCUCGCCGCUCCUGCUCCCGCUCCCGCUGCCGCUGCUCGCCACUAUCGCUGCUCACAAACGCUGCCUCUGUCGCUGCUCGCGCCUCCUGCUGCUCGCCGUUGUCGCUGCUCACNNNNNNNNNNNNNNNNNNNNNNNNNNNNNNNNNNNNNNNNNNNNNNNNNNNNNNNNNNNNNNNNNNNNNNNNNNNNNNNNNNNNNNNNNNNNNNNNNNNNNNNNNNNNNNNNNNNNNNNNNNNNNNNNNNNNNNNNNNNNNNNGCUGCUCGCCGCUCCUGCUCUUACUGCUGCUGCUCGCCGCUGUCGCUGCUCGCAAACGCUGCCGCUGUUGCCGCUCGCACCUCCCGCUGCUCGCCGCUCCUGCUCCCGCUCCCGUUGCUUGCCGCUGUCGCCGCUGCCUCCUUACACUCCGCUGCCGCUACCGCUUCCUCUUUUCUCAGUCAGCAGGCUCAGCACCCCUUACACUUCCUUCUUCUCCUUCUGUUAACAGUAUACAGUAUACUAUUAACAGUAUACUAUAUACUAUUAAUAUUGUUAGGUUUAUUUGAAAUUAUUAAUUUUUAAUACUGUUAAUAGAUUUUCUUAAUUUAAUAGCAUAUUUUAAUUUAAAAUUUUAAAUAAUUAUAUUUAUUAAUUAUAUUAUAUAUUUUUAUAUUUUAGCGUCUCGCUUCGCUCGGGCGAGCGCCUAGCGCCUCGGGCAUUUUUGGACCUUAGCGUCUUUUAGCGCCUAGCGCUUUUUAAAUCACUGAUGCAGCUGCAUAGGCUGCUUGAAACAAUGGUUGAAAUUGAAUAGAAUUGACAUCAAAAUGUCCAUUUAAAUUCUGACAUCCAUCAUCUCAGAAGUACUUAUGAAUCAUUUUCUUGGACAAGUUGCUAGCAAUGUCCAGCUCUUAUUUUUCUUUUUGCUUAAAGUUACAUAUAGAGUUGAAUGAUCUAUUGAACUCCAAUUUCACAGUCAUCAAGUCUCUUCCAUACACUAAUAAGACACCCGUAGUAAGUCCAGUAUCAUACCUGAAUAAAAAAUUUUCCUUCUUUAUUCUAAUUUCAGCAUCCUCUAAAAAGAACACCAUUUCACUCCUAAAAUACUUUGGUAGAAAAAUUACUACUCUGAGAGGGUUGCACUGCCACUAAUAAGUCCUCAAUAACAAACAACACAUCUCACUCCAAAAAUUGAUCUUUCAGAUACUUCCAUAGGAUAAUUUGAAAGUUUUAAUAAAUCAAUCCUGCUCAUGGAAAAUUGCUUCUAUUAUGUUAGCCAAAAUAUCCCAUAAAAGUUUUGAUUUUUAAAUUCCAUUAAACCAUUUAAGAAUUCAUUCUUUCAUGUCCAUUUGGUAUAACUGGUAGCCUCAGCAGUUAUGGAGCUAAAAGCAAAGAACUUACGCAUAUGACAAACAAUAACUUAUGAGUUAAAGCAUACAUUAUUGUGUAAUUAUGUCAGGCAAAAGAUACGAAAACAUCAUAAGUAAAUCACCAGACAUAUCCAAAUUUAUACUUUUCAACAAUGAGCCAAUCACAUGUGUAUCCACUGAUGAAGAAAUUUGAUGAAUCCUUGAAGUUGCAGACAGUUAUUUCUUUAUAGAAGACAUUAAAAGAAAUGAACAUCACGAAAUACCAUUGGAGUAGACAGAGCAUUCAGCUGUCGAGGCCUGUUAAGUGUCAAUAUCCUUGUAAACCUGCAGUCUUCUACCAAAACCUAUCAAAUCCCCAAAAAUACUGUGAAAAAACAACAAUAUUUGGAGAACACUAAUAUGUAGUUGAGAAUAAUACAAAGAACACAUUUCAGAAGCAUAGUGCGAUGGACCUCAAAGGAACAAUUUCACGAUCCAGAAAAUUGAGCAAAAAACCCUAGUGCCUUGUGACAUUUGUGAAAAAUGAAAUCAAUCUAGCACUAAACCAAUGGCCAUUUAAUUAUUAAAAAAUCAAUAAAAUUAUAAAAAGGGACCGGACGGAACACCGCCUCAAAAAAGUGCCCAACAAAUAAUGAUUUACUGAGAAUCUUGUUUACGGAGGUGCCUUAAUUGUUCGUUGUGUUGUUGUCUCAUACUAUGUUUACCCCCUAAUAGGUUUAUCUUCGACUUCACCUUCACACAACAUACACCAUACUAGAGAAAGUCUUACGAGCGUGUGAUUCCAAGACCAACAAUCGUGCCUGGUUUAAUAUCAUACGGCAUUAUCUCUCAUAAGUAGACAACACACAAUUCACAAGAAGUUCUCCUCAUCGGCCACACCAAAAAGCCACUUUCUUGCAUUUUUUCUCGGACCAAGAAAGAAACUUUCAGGUGGCCAAUCAAAACCCACGUUUUAAAUUCAACGAAAAACAUAAAUACCCGGCCAGUGCUCCCUUAAAAGACUGGAAAAGAUCACCUGAUUGGUUGUGCCGUCGUUGCUAGCGUUUUGUGAGGACGAGGCCAUGACGUGUUCGAAAGCCAAAACCUUCCCUUCGCAAUCAAGAAACCGGUGAAAGAAGAGACGGAGGGGGGUGGGGGGUGGGAGGGGAGGGGAGAGAUCAAAGACAAAGAAAAUAUCUGAUAGAAAGAUACUUCCGUACCAAAUGAACCAGCGAUCAAGAAGGAUUGAGGACCGAACCAAAUCGAGGGAGAAGGGAAGGAAGAAGGGGAUGUCGUCUUUGAUACGAGUUUCUAAGAUGUCAGAUAUGCUUCCCUGCUCAUAGUGAAAUUACAAUGAUGCCGCUUGAUAUAUUGAAUUUUCUUAAAAUGUCAGGAACCGUAAAAAAACCCCUUCUUUUUAAUUAAAAUGAUGCCCCUUAAAAUAGCAAUUAUUUUUAAAAUUCAUAAACCAUUAAAAAUAAACAUAUUUUGCAAGAUUUAUGAUAAUUUUGAGUUUAAAAUUAGGUACAAAAUACAACUCCAGUAAAAUUGAUAUGAUCAUAUCUAGGAGAAACACACUGGACUUAUACUGCUGCAAUUUGAAAAAAAUUAUAUAUUGUAUUACGAGUGUAAAAUAAAAUUUUAAUAAUUCAUCGUAAGAUCAAGAUCAUGAGAUCAGUUUUAUCCUUUGCAAAAAGAAUUAGAUUUGUCAAAAUAGUCAAAAAUAAGUUAGAAACCAAAGCAAAGAGAAUUGCACACCAUGAAAGUGAGAAAGGUCGACUAGAUCCUGUCAAAGAGCACACUAGAAGGCUCAGGCACUGUCACACAAGCGGCUGUUGAACGAGAUACAGAAAAGCAUGAUCAAUAAUAUUUGUCCAAACACCAAGAUCAUAAUUUUAGACCUGUUUGAAUUGUAUACAAUCCUGGCAUACACACUUCCGAUACGACAAAGUAACAUUCAUAGGUUUCCUUGAAAAGUAUCUGUUACCCAACUAGAGUACCAUAUCUAGCUCCCCCUGUAUGUGGUGAAUGAAAAGGGUGAAUGCAGCAGAGGAACAUGAAAGUGUUCUGCUAUCUGGUUUUCUCUGACCUGAAACACCAAGCUGACAUAAGGAAAGAAGCCAGAGGGUGCAUAUUUACCGGUGUCGAAACUUAUCCGGUAAAAGCCAGGAGUUAUAUGGUCAACGAUGCCCAUCAGAGGGCCGCUGCGUCCAUCAGUAUUUGUUGUCGAAGAGCCUAUCAACAUCCAGUCGGUGGAUUCUCUGUUUGUAAAUGAUGGGUGCUGCUGAGUUCCUUUCCACAUUUCAAGGUGAACCUCCAUGCCGGAAGCUGGAGAGCCACGGGCAACAUCCAGGACAUGGGUUGUGAUGGGAGGACGAGUGCGGUGGCUAUUACCUGAAAUUUCAGUGGUUUUACUGGAAGGUACCUUAGGAAUAGCCAUAAUAUGUGCUCCAAUGAUUCCUAAACGAUCUUUUAAGAUUCAAAACAUGAGUUGUCAGGAUGAAGCAUGAGUAAAAUGCAAAGUUAACAGAACUGGAAUCUUUGAAGUUAUACUAGCUAGAUUAAUUUGACUUGCCAGAGUUAACAGAAUGUAAAUGCAGCAAAGUUAAACACACUCUUUAUGCAGCAUCACCACUGUCUCUGGUUAAACAUUGUCAUCAUAAAGAAAAAAGUGGCACAUAUGUUUUCAAAAAAGAUGUUUCACAGACCAAAUGAAAAUGUGGAAUCAACUAAGGGACUCUUGUGAUAUUCCAUGAUUGACUAAAUUGAAAUAGCUCAAGGUAAACAGUAACCUAAACUUAUAUGAUAUAUCUAUCUAACAUGAGUGAAAAAGUCGAACUAGGCAGUAAGAUAAGAUCGAAUAUGUUCAUUCCAGUGAAUAAACUUUGGACCACAUGCAGCAGGGACUACCACUUACAGACCAAUGGUUUAUGAUGAAUCUAGAGGUCUUGAGAAACUGCAAACCAAAGAAAAUAAUUAACCAAAGAAAAUAAUUCAUACAGACCACUUAACCAUCCUCCGGAUGCAAUUAGCAAGUUCCCAAAAGAGAAACCAUGCUGAGAAAGAUGUCCAUCCUUCUUUCCUCUGGACUAGAUUACUCCUAAUGGUUUCAAGCAACAUGAGAGUUUCUUCAGUAAAUUUUACAUCUACCCAACCACUAAUCUAUAAGAAUAUAAAGGAUAUGUGCAAAUGGGCAUAACAGUGUGCAAGUGAUCUAUCCAUCUUAACCACACUCAGGCAAAACUAAUACAUGUCCUUAUCUCUAAUCACUGGAUUCCACAAUAUGAAGAAUCUAAGAUCCAAUUUCCAUAUAUAUAAUCAAAUGUAGUAUGAUUGCACCCAUAGAACAUACUUUAAAAAGACACAAAACAUAGUGUAAAAAGCCUAUUUUAAACUCAAUUUUCUACAGUCUAUGCAUUAUCUCGGUUUUUCGUUUCCUUAAGCAGGAUCUAUCACUCAACUAACGAACAAGAACAACCGCAGACAUUUGCAGAUUAACAAAGUAAUACAUUUUAAGAAUGAAUUUCCAUGUCUUCAUCUGACCAAACAUUGUUUUUGUAACAACAUAUACAGAGUUGCCCAACCUCAAUUGACAGCUUUGUUUCUCAUAUCUAAACUAUUGAUUUUCAACAGCAAUUAUUUAUUCUCAAAUAACUCCUAUAUACAUUCAGUUAUACAAGUAAAAGUGAGAACAAAAUGAUCAAUUGUGUGACAAAGAUAACUGGAAAAAAUAUAUAUUGUCCUUGUUUAAAACAUCAGGAAAAUGAAGAGGUUACUACCUUCUGGUUUAGUUGGUGAACUAACAGGAAGACGAGUUGUGACUGGAAUGUUUGAUCCAGCAUCAGAAUUAAAAAGCCUAGCAAGACGCAAUUCAGUUAUCUUCAUCUCCUCUUGUGCUGCUAUUUCAAGUUCGACAAUGGGCCUAUUCAGGUAGCGUUUCUAUAGCAAGGUAAAAUCAGUAGGUUAACAAUAGAUACACUCAGAAAUUGUCAAAGAAGAGAAUGCAACAUCAGCUGCACCUAAAUUGAUAAUAAAUUCAGAAAUCAAAUAUAAUUAGUGUCGACAUGCUCAUGUCAUAUUAAGGUUAUUCACAUCAAUAGUGACCCAUUUCUGAAAUGGGGACAAAUUUAAAUUACAUAACAUCACAAUAUAAGUAGCCUAAACUACCAAGGAUUUGAAGGACUAGAUGCAUAAGAGGAAUGAACAACUGUACAUGCCACAGUGGUUAACAGAGAACAACAACGAAUAGAUAAUCAUGUCAAAUGAACUGAAUGACAACCAAUGCACAGAAUAUCAAGUAGACAAGCCACUUCUUCACAGGCAACCUACAAACAAUUCCACCAGAUUGAGAUGCCUUUUCUUUCUCCUAAAGCAACCGCAUGAGGAACAUUUUCAUAUAAAGUUUUGGAAAAAAUUUGCAAAGAGUGAAAUUUAGCUAAUUCAAAGUUGAUAAAAUAUGGAGAAGUUGCAUCAUAUGCAGAAGAGAGAAGCACAAAUUAGCAAACGAGUUAAUAUUUGCUGACCAGGUACAGAGAAAAUGAUAAGAGCAUAAGAAUCAGUUCCUUAUAAUUAAAAAAACAUAUUUUAACCAAAAAAGUUUCUUUAGCAUCUAGGACCCUCAAAGAGCUUCCAUUAUGUGGACGUCUACAGUUAUCAACAUAGGUUUUGAGGCAAUGCCAUAGGAGGAAAAUGAAAGCUUGGAUUUGUCCAACAAAGAGUUCUUGACUCUUCUAUGAAAAUUUGUUCCAAGAGUGUUUCAUACCAUCCAUCUUUAUUUCUUCUCUAGAUCCUUGAAACCAUCCUUAUCGAUUGCCAAAACAUUCAAGAACACUAUAUCAAAUUAACACUUCUAAACAAGUGACUUGGCAUCUUUCCGAUUUCCGAUAUAUCAAUAGAUGUAGAAAUACAACGUCAACCUACUUUCUUGUUAUUGAUCCCCUUUUUUCUUACUCUUUCUACAGAUUAGGGCUUAAGGGUGUCACUCUUUGGGUAUUAAAAAGACAAAAAAAGAAUCUCCAAAGCAUAAAGAACUUCAAUUUUUCAGAUGUCUUUGGAUGCAGCUACAUUCGGGAUAAAGAUCCAUCCUUGCAUGCGCAUACAUAACCACAGGAACACACAGCACAGGAUAAAAGAGCCUCUUGGUAGAGGUAGUAGACAAAACAUUGAUGAGUAGUUCUAUGUGGUGGUAAGACCUAACAAUAUUCCAAUGAAAAGAUAGUUUAAGUAGCAAUAGUAUCUUCCAUCUUACCAUCAUUAAAACUGUUAUUUGUUGAGGGUAAUUGGAAAGCAUGAUUCAGAAAAACGGUAGUUUGUUCAGAAAAAUGAAACCUUUAAUUCAGCAAGGAUCUCCGGCGUGCCCCUCCCAGAUGCGCAUAUGAGGAACACGAACCCAAACUUCUCCCUGUACCGAGAAUUCCAUUCCAUCAAUUCCUACCAUUUGAAAAACCAAAGAAGAAGUUAACAACUACUCGACGUAAUUAUAAGAUAUUUCAGUAAAACAAUAAAUGACACAUCGGAGGAUCACCUGCAAGGCGGAAUCGUUAGCAGUAGCCAUCGCUGCGGAUUGCUCUUCCUUACACCACCUAAUCCAAUUACCGAUCCGACAACUGAAUUAGCGGAGAAGGAGAGGCCAAAAUUUCAGACAGGGAAGGAAGAAGAGAGAUGAGACGAACUGGGAGACGGAAGGAGAGGUGGUUCCGAUCGCCGGGUGAGCCGCGAAAGCCUCGAGCCAUCCGACGACGUCGACCUACAAGAUUCAUUAGAAAACAAGAGGGAGAUGGAAUCACAACAGGCUAGUGAGAAGAACGGGAAGAGGAACUAGGAAUAGGGCAAAGGGGAGACCUUGUUGAGCCAGAUGUCGCGGGCGGAUCGGAGGGCGUGGUCGAGGUCGGUGAAGGGGGAGGCCGAGACCAUCUCCUUGGCGAACCUUUUGCUGCCGCAGCAGCGCAGCACGUCCUCCUCCAUGCACGAAAGAGCCGUCAUCUUUCUCUUCUCCCGUCUCUUCCCCCACUCUCUCUUCUUUCCUCUUCUCUCUUCCUUCUAACACUGCCACUCCUCUUCUCUCGCCAUGUGGACAUGAUGAUGAUAAUUAUUAUUAUUUUAUUUUCUGAUAUUGUUAGGGUUUUUUCCUUUUUAUUCUUUGUGAUUUUGUUGAAGCUUUAGUCUUUUAAAAAAAUAAAAAAUAGUUUCUUUAUUUUUAUUAUUGUUUAAAUCAAAUAGAAUAUAAUCGAAAUCAAAAUUAAAGAUGACAAAUUAUUUUAGUUCAAGUGAAUAUUUUUUUAUUCGAUUAAUUAAUUUGGAUUAAUCGAUCUUAAUUUAAAAAAUAUUAAUUUGAUUGAGUUCAAUAUCAUUUCAAUCAGAUUAAUCUAAUCAAAUCAAAGACCCUAAUAUCGAUAUUACCUAAUUUUAAUAUCAUAAUUUUAUAAAUAUUGUGAGCUCAAUUUCAUAAAUCUUAUCGUGUCGAUCGAAUUGAACCAAGACUUUAAUUCGAUUCAAUUGAAUUGAACCGAUUGAUCGAUUUGGCUCUUUUAAAAUAUAUAUAUAUAUAUAUUCUUAAAAUUAUUUAAAAUCAUAAAAUUUGAAAUUUAACAUUUAACUGUUCGAUUGAAAAUAACUUGAACACAUGUAACAUGUAAUAAGUAUAUAGGGAAAGUUAUAAAUAGUCUAUUAAAGAUUAGCUAUCUCAUCUCAAUCCUUCAUCUUAUUUGAUUAAAUUUUUUUUUUAAUAUUAAAAAAUUCGAAACAACAAAUGAAAUGAGGAGUAAAUGGGAUAAACAAAUUUUCUCUCACUGAAAACAUGGUUUUUUUCCAUAAAUUUAAGAAAUAUUUUACAUGUAUAUCCUUGGAAUUUCUAAAUUACAUAUUUACUUAUAUAAAUCUUAAAUUACUAAUAUAUCUGUAUAUAUAUUAAAAUUAUUUACUCAUCCAUUAUAAAAUAUUGGGUUAAUCAUUAAUCAUCAUUAGGAGUUCAAAAAAAUACUGUAUAUAAUAAUUAAAAUACUCUUAUCAUCACAAUUUGACAUUAACUAUAUAUAUAUAUAUAUAUAUAUAUAUAUAUAUAUAUAUAUAUAUAUAUAUAUAUAUAUAUAUAUAUAUAUAUAUAUAUAUAUAUAUGUAUAUCAUGGAAAAUUUUCCUUCUCUGGUUGCAGGUAACCCUUUGCAAAGGCUUAGUCUUCUCUCUCUCUCUCUCUCUUCUUCUUCUUCUUCUUCUUCUUCUUCUUCUUCUUCUUCUUCUUCUUCUUCUUCUCUUGUUUAAAUUACUUAAAGGCCAUACAACCAUCAUAAGGCUUUAUAUUACAACACCAAUAUCCAGUUUGAUCUUGGAAUCUUUUAGAUCUCACAGAAGCAAUUUAUGUCCAUAAAACUCAAGGAGAAAUAGCACAAAAAAUGAUGUAAGAGAAGGAACGUUAGCAAUUAGAAGUAUAUGGAAACAAUCAGCUCAGAAAACCUGAGUGAUCAACAAUGAAGUCAUUAAAUCUAGUAAUCAGAAAUUAUACUACGACAAGAACAUUGAUAUCAUCGCAUCUGUAGCAUCAAGAUUCAUGCCUAUGAAGAACAUUUAUAUCAGCCAACAACAAGCACAGAUCGACAUGCUCCAUAAAUCCAUAAUGUUCAGUAGAAGCAAAGAGUGUGAGGAUUUUUAUCAAAGUCAUAAUACAACUGUGACUUGGUUCUUUCACUCUCAGAUUUCAGACUUCUAAACUACACAUAAAGUUGCAUUGUUAAGUAUUAAUUAACUACUAAUCAAAAAUUGAAAAUGCACAGAAGAUAAUAAAAAUUUAAAUAUCUUUUUUUUUAAAUUGAUGUAAAUAUUGAUACUUAAUUUUUCAGUCUACAUUUGUGUAUGUUUUUUUACAUAUUCAUUUUUGGUUAAAAAUGAUUUAAAAUGGCUAUGUAAUAAAAAGAUUUAAAUGCACAGAAUGAAUGACAAAGUAUUUGUCAUCAUCAUUCUGGAGUUUUGUAUAUAAUGUAGGAUUGGUUGGAGAACACAACACACCUAAUCAUAGACAAAAAUAAUCUAAAAGAUCCAAGAAAUAAUCAAGGGAUUAGGAAAUUUACCUGACUAAAUCUCAAUUUUUCACUUGAGAAGUUACAUGAAAGGAUAAAACUUAUCAUCAUAUUUAAACAGUAUUCCAAUUAUGAAGACACUAAAUUCAGUGCAAUUGUGUGCCACUACAACAUCUUAUGUUGAUCCAACGAAUCAACAAUUGGACAAACUCCUUACAUUAUUCACUUGCAGUUUUCUCCUCCAGUAAUCCUAAACUCCUAAUUGAAUGAUGCAAAACGACACUCUACAAUAGAAACAUCAUCCUCUAAAAAGAUCUAAUAAGUUACAUAUAUGGAACUUCUUGAAGUUCUUGUGACCAAGUGAUGUCAUAAGUCACCUAUAUGAGUAUCUAAUUUAUCAUUGAUAGGCAAUUUUUUUGGGUUAGCUAUUCAUAUUGGAUUAUGGUACUCUAUCUAUAUCUGAAGUUUCUCAUUGAAAAUAGUAAAUGUUUAUUAAGUGACCAAGAACACAAUAUGGUAAACCAGUUGUAAGCAUAAGCCUAAUCAUGAUAUUUUGGUAAGGCAGCAUAUACACAUGAGAAAUACCAAGGCUGACUCAAGAAGAAUGCAUCCAAUUAAAAAUGACCCAAGAAUAGAAGAUAUAAUACACAUUUUUAUACAUAGUUGAGAUUCAGAUUACCUGAAAGGACAAUUACAUUAUUUGUCUAAAACAAGAAGGUAUAUUAAUGUUGAAGUGUGCAAAGGCUGCAAGAAGAGAUAUAAACAAUCUGUGGUUCUAUAAUUUGGCAUGCCAAGUUGACACACAACAUUAGAUAAAUAAUUAGAUCAUGCAUGGAAGCAAGAGGAUAUUGCAAAGUGUUGGCAAACAUUCCCAUUCUCAAUGUAGCACUGCCUUUAGUGCACAACUCAAAGGAAUCUUUACAUGUAAAAAAACCUUGCAAAGAUUUCAGAGCAAUCAACAUCUUUUUCUAUUGUUUUGAGAUGCAUCAGUGAAACAAAGAGGGUGGAGAAAGUAGGACUGGUUGUCUUUUUAUUAAAGGCAUGCAGCACAACUGGGAUAACACACAGAAGAAACCCUAUAGUUCUUUUCCAUCUUUCCUAGCUUCCAUGAUCCUCAAUGUUCACAGUAGAAAACUCCAUUUCAGAAUAAUCUGCUUACAAGUGGAGGAAGAGUAGAGGUAACUUUUCUGGAAAAUUAAUCCAAGUUGAAUGCUUCUCAAUUAGAUUUAUCAUAUUGUAGUAGCAGUUGUACUGUGAGCACAAGAUGAGGUGCAGAAGCUGAUGCGCAUGGAGUGGAUGAUACUGAUGAUGAUGAUGACAGUGAAAUAGAAGUGUUUUUAUAGGGCCUGUAGGUGGCCUCAAACCCACUCAUAAAAAGGAGACUACUUCCAUGAGCAACAACAAACAACAGUCUUUGGAAGGAGAGAGAGAGAGAGAGAGAGAGAGAGAGAGAGAGAGAGAGGGAGGAUGAAGAGAAAGAGAAUAUACAGCAACGGAUCAUCAAACACAGAUCAAGAAAUGAAACAAGCUGAGUACUUGUACAUGGAAAUCCUCAAACACGCUUGCUAACCUUUGCUUUGCUGCAGCGGUCGGUCAUGGAUCAGCUCCACUUAUCCCCGUCCUCCAUUUCUAGUCCGUGCAUUGGUGGGAAUCACAGUUACACCAUGGCAUGUCAGAAAGGCGACCGCCCAGUUGCGCCGCCCGCCC
Molecule: long non-coding RNA, 18430 nt
Filed under: Musa acuminata (dwarf banana)
Lineage: Eukaryota; Viridiplantae; Streptophyta; Magnoliopsida; Zingiberales; Musaceae
Description: long non-coding RNA (MACU_LNC002562)
Source: RNAcentral